UGCGUUUGUGGAAUUCUGUAGUUAGACAAAAGUUGCUAAGCUGCUUACUGAAAGCACCAUUUAAAUUGAAUUUGCAAGUUUUGGUAUUGGAGCUGGAGGUGGCCGAAGCAAGCCACAGGAUUCGCCUCAAUCAGCGCUGAUGGAAACGGAGGCUCUCGAUUCAGAAGCAGAAGCUCAGGAUGUGCACAAGCCAAUGCUUCGGGUGACGGUGACGAAGAGGGCGAGGGUGCCUGGCUGCCUGGCAAGGAUCCAGCAAACGGUUUUGAAAUAUUCUCAAUCCACAGCACAAACUGCACAAACGAACAUAAAAAA
Molecule: non-coding RNA, 312 nt
Organism: Drosophila virilis
Lineage: Eukaryota; Metazoa; Arthropoda; Insecta; Diptera; Drosophilidae
Source: RefSeq, a predicted model, not a curated record